AAUACAGAGGAAAUCCUAUUUAAAUUCAUACAAAUGUCACAAGAUGAGUGUAUAUAAUAUGUGCGAUUUACGUAUAAAAAUAAUUAAUGCUUAACAUGCUAUACUGUUGAGUUAGGUUAGUUAGACAGGAAGAUGUAAAUUGACAACGGAAACCGUAUAAAAGAUGUGAAAAGUUAAAAACAUCAACUGUCGAGGACUGACUCCUACUGUCGUAAAGCAGCUUGGAAUUUUAUUCUGUUUUCAUCAUUAGACCCUCAAAAAUUUAUUCAAAAGAUAUGAUUACGAAUUGCCAACGACAUCGUUUUUGCGAUAUUCUGAUAGGUAAACGACCCAAGGAUUUUGAUUUCACAAUCAACACUAUACAGCAGCAGAUAAAGAUAUUCACGAAGGAGGAAAUUAAAAUAAAUAAGAAAAGGAAAAAGCAUGAAAGGACAAGGAGAAGAAGAAAAAAAACAAAAAUAAUGACAAGGGAAAUUUUGAAAUUGCUACUUUGUGAAUCGAUGUUCUGACUGAUGGAUAACAAGCAGGUAGAAUUUAUGAAAGAUUGGAAGCUGAAACACAUAAAUAGAUGAGAUCUAACCAUUCUAUGUCUCUUGAUCUCAAUAAUAAAUUGUACGAUUACUUCUAUGGAUCUGCACAAAAACAAAUAAUUUUUCUAGAUAAUGUUAGUAUUAGGAUACAUGAAGAUUAUUUUCGAAUUCUGAGGAUGAGGCUACAAUAAAGGCUCAGGAUGAGGCUAUAAUAAAUUGAAAGAAAAUAUUGACAGUCUGUCACAAAUAUCCAUUGAAAGAAUCUGAAGUAAAUGGAGUAAGAUUUUAAUGAGCAAUAUUGUUCUGUAGAAUUGAUUCUAAAACUACUUGAGUACGACAAUAGCAUAUAUCAAUUUACCUGACAAAUUUGUCAGAAAAUUUUCAAACUGUCAAUGCACUUUGUCCAAUAAUGUAAUUUCGAAAUUUAUAUCUGUAAUCAUGAAAAUUAUCUUUGAAUCCUCAGCUUAGCCCAUAUAUGAUAGGAAUGUAAUCUGUAUGAUUUAAGUUCAAGCAAUUUGCAUCAUUAUUAUGACAUUGACCAGUUGAAUACCACGAAAAAGAAAGCAAAUAUAAAGCAAAUAUUAAUAUAUAAAGCAAAUAUUAAUAUAUAAUUGAGCAAAUAAAUUUAUUCUUAU
Molecule: long non-coding RNA, 1165 nt
Organism: Camponotus floridanus (Florida carpenter ant)
Lineage: Eukaryota; Metazoa; Arthropoda; Insecta; Hymenoptera; Formicidae
Exons: 4
Source: RefSeq, a predicted model, not a curated record